RNAcentral lists this ribosomal RNA (410 nucleotides) under uncultured bacterium. RNAcentral describes it as "bacterial SSU rRNA". It matches the Rfam family "Bacterial small subunit ribosomal RNA", at positions 8 to 422 of the family's 1533-position model. The record is from RNAcentral.
AGAGUUUGAUCCUGGCUCAGAUUGAACGCUGGCGGCAUGCCUUACACAUGCAAGUCGAACGGCAGCGCGGGGCAACCUGGCGGCGAGUGGCGAACGGGUGAGUAAUAUAUCGGAACGUGCCCUGGAGUGGGGGAUAACGCAGCGAAAGUUGCGCUAAUACCGCAUACGAUCUAAGGAUGGAAGCAGGGGACCGCAAGGCCUUGUGCUCCUGGAGCGGCCGAUAUCUGAUUAGCUAGUUGGUGGGGUAAAGGCCUACCAAGGCAUCGAUCAGUAGCUGGUCUGAGAGGACGACCAGCCACACUGGAACUGAGACACGGUCCAGACUCCUACGGGAGGCAGCAGUGGGGAAUUUUGGACAAUGGGCGAAAGCCUGAUCCAGCAAUGCCGCGUGAGUGAAGAAGGCCUUCGGG